GUCAUAUAUGAAGCAGAGUUUGCUAGUCUCAGCGGAGGAGCUAUGGUUGAGAGACGAGUCAGUGAUCUUACCAAGUUUACUGGGACUGGUGGAGUUAGAAUGAGUGGCGAUGGUAAUCGCAUUACAUUUCGAGUAAUUGUGCCUCAGAGAUCUAUUCAAUAUAGGCUGAUUGUUCGUUACGAGGCAUUAAGUUCAUUUGAUAGUGUCCAGUUGACAGCAGUGAGGUCAGGUGAUGAGACAAGUGUAAUUACC
Molecule: long non-coding RNA, 252 nt
Organism: Corticium candelabrum
Lineage: Eukaryota; Metazoa; Porifera; Homoscleromorpha; Homosclerophorida; Plakinidae
Exons: 3
Source: RefSeq, a predicted model, not a curated record